AAAACGGCCCUUUUAAGGGCCACCACUUCCAUUAUCAUAUCUAAC
Molecule: non-coding RNA, 45 nt
Organism: Macrostomum lignano
Lineage: Eukaryota; Metazoa; Platyhelminthes; Macrostomidae
Source: Rfam